This 1029-nucleotide long non-coding RNA is filed under the name Mus musculus (house mouse). RNAcentral describes it as "predicted gene 10505". Lineage: Eukaryota; Metazoa; Chordata; Mammalia; Rodentia; Muridae. The record is from RNAcentral.
CUUCCUUCCUGUAGAAUUUCCGGUCUGGUCACACUCAUUCAGCAACAGCAGCACCACCACCACCACCAGCAGCAGCGGACAGCCCUGAGGAGCAUGGGGCCUGCUGGGACUCGUCUCCUGCUAUGCUUCAGCUCCUGCCCAAUCACUUACCUGUGCCAGGAGAAGCCUCUGGACAUGCCUGGGCAGCCUCUGGACAUGCACUGCUCCCAUUCCUCGCUGAGAGGGCAUCUCCCCGAGUGCCUCUCCAUCCCAGUAGACUCUCCAGAUGUGCCCAGUCCUCAACUGGUGUGGCCUCACCAGAGAGACUCAGACCAAACAGGCCUCCACAGCCUCUCUCUAGACACUUUCUGGGAAACCACAGUGGAAUACAAAAGGAGACCAAGCAUGGGAGAGCUGCAGUGGACGUGUACAGACAGGAGAAGCAGGCCCUAAAGAAUCCCUGAGGCGGCAGAGAGGCUGGGCUGUGGAACUUUUUAAUUACUUUGCAUUAGGGGACUGUAGAGACCCAGAAGCCCACCCUUCCCCUCCCCUCAUCAGCUUAGCCCCAACAUAUGGUGGCUACCAAAGUAGUUAAAUCGGCUCUUGGUAGAAAAGGAAAGAGAUUCCUCCCAGGCUCUUCCCAGGGUCCACGGCCACACUCCAGGAGGGCUCAACUCCAGGGCAAGGCAGCUGGGACAGCAGGCAGCUGAAGGAGGACUAUUACUGCACCUUAGGGAAGAGUGCAGUGGCGAGUGGGGAGGACUCUGCUGGGACCCGGGGGUCAUGUGCAUUCCCAUUUAGUUGAGCUCUGCUUAAUCCGGGCCUAGGCUCACAGUAAUGGGGAACGAGGAGAGGCUCCCAUCAGAGACCAAGAAGAUGACAGACUCUCUGUAAAGGCUGUCAGAGGGGUCUGCAUGACCAACCACACCUGCUCCUGUUCCUUUGGGGCUCUUGUGACCUCCCUGUCUUCUUGUGAGAUCUUAUGUUCCUCCAACCCUGAGAGCUACAAACCAAUCUCCGGAAUAAAAAAAUCUGUCCCUCGUGCUGUCA